This is a long non-coding RNA of Neltuma alba, 371 nucleotides long. RefSeq lists it as uncharacterized. Lineage: Eukaryota; Viridiplantae; Streptophyta; Magnoliopsida; Fabales; Fabaceae. The record is from RefSeq and is a predicted model, not a curated record. The transcript is spliced from 3 exons.
AGAAAAAGAAAAUGGUGCCGUAUCAAUGGAUAUGAGCGAGCCAUCCACUGGGGAAGUUCCUCAAGCAAUGGACACAUCAGAGUCCGGAGCUCAAGGCCCAGUUUCUGGUGCUCCCAGCAUUUUCAGUUUUUUAGGAACGUCAUAAAAUAGUCUCUCAAAUGUCAUAUCCGGACACCGCUACAACAGCGCUGGCUCCACUCCCACUUACCAAGACCUCUGAAGGAAAAGUAGCUUAAGUAAUAAUUCGUUCCAAAAAUGUUUGCGGAUAUAGUUAAUUUUCCCACGUUUUUUCAAUGGACAUCUGGAUGUUUUGGAGUUUCAUGCUUCUUCAUUCAGCACAGUUUCUCUAAAUUUGUGUUCAACUAUCUUGA